CGGUCCUGAGUAAAGUGGCGCACGGGUGAGUAACGCGUAGAUAACCUGUCUUCAUGUCUGGAAUAAUACGCCGAAAGGGGUACUAAUACCGGAUAUUCUUGCUUUUCAUAAGUUAUGCAAGCAAAGGUAGCCUCUGCAUAUGCUACUGCAUGAAGAGGGGUCUGCGUACCAUUAGCUAGUAGGUGGGGUAAUGGCCUACCUAGGCGACGAUGGUUAGCGGGUCUGAGAGGAUGAUCCGCCACACUGGCACUGGAACACGGGCCAGACUCCUACGGGAGGCAGCAGUGAGGAAUAUUGCGCAAGUGGGGGAAACCCUGACGCAGCGACGCCGCGUGAGUGAAAGGGAAGGCCUUCGGGUCGUAAAGCUCUGUCAAGAGGAAAGAAGUGUACAAUGGCUAAUACCUGUUGUUAUUUGACGGUACCUCUAAAGGAAGCACCGGCUAACUCCGUGCCAGCAGCCGC
RNAcentral lists this ribosomal RNA (462 nucleotides) under uncultured bacterium. RNAcentral describes it as "bacterial SSU rRNA". It matches the Rfam family "Bacterial small subunit ribosomal RNA", at positions 81 to 518 of the family's 1533-position model. The record is from RNAcentral.